CCGAGUUAGGGUUUCUUAUAAGCCCGACCUCCAACCCUUUGUUAAACCUACUUUGUUGCUUUGGCAGGCCCGCCUUCGGGGCCGCUGGAGGGGUUCAGUCCCCUCUGGCCAGUGCCUGCCAGUAGCCAAUUUAAAUUCACUUUUAACCAUGUUGUCUGAUCAUGCAAUUGAAAAUUAAUUUUA
Molecule: unclassified non-coding RNA, 183 nt
Filed under: uncultured Chaetothyriales
Lineage: Eukaryota; Fungi; Ascomycota; Eurotiomycetes; Chaetothyriales
Description: sequence contains ITS1
Source: RNAcentral